Sinocyclocheilus rhinocerous is the source of this 346-nucleotide long non-coding RNA. RefSeq lists it as uncharacterized. The record is from RefSeq and is a predicted model, not a curated record. The transcript has 2 exons. NCBI's taxonomy places the organism in Eukaryota, Metazoa, Chordata, Actinopteri, Cypriniformes, Cyprinidae.
CGCCCAUCAAAAGUUGUCCCGCGCCGCACCCUGUUGCGUUGGGUCCCGCGGGAGUGCAGGUCUCUAGUUCAGACCUGACUGCGCAGAACUAGACCCAAUCAAUCGAUCUCAAAGCCGCGGUUUCAUUACCAAUUAAUUACAGUGCAAAAUUGACGGUUGUAAAAACUGUUGACAGCCUGUGGAUGGUUUUGAUGGAUGACGUGAACGCUGCAUGUUUGUAACACACACAGAACCGGUGACGUCUGUAACCCCUUUAAUAUCAUCUUUAUUCCAUACUGAUCCGCCUCAUGUUAAAAAUAAUUAAUUUUUAGAUCAUAUUUAAUAAAUAUCUUGUUCUUUUAUUGGU